This 429-nucleotide ribosomal RNA is filed under the name beta proteobacterium SCGC AAA041-I08. RNAcentral's name for it is "bacterial SSU rRNA". It matches the Rfam family "Bacterial small subunit ribosomal RNA", at positions 357 to 779 of the family's 1533-position model. The record is from RNAcentral. Lineage: Bacteria; Pseudomonadati; Pseudomonadota; Betaproteobacteria.
GGGAAUUUUGGACAAUGGGGGCAACCCUGAUCCAGCAAUGCCGCGUGAGUGAAGAAGGCCUUCGGGUUGUAAAGCUCUUUUGUCAGGGAAGAAACACCGGCUCUAACACAGUCCGGGAAUGACGGUACCUGAAGAAUAAGCACCGGCUAACUACGUGCCAGCAGCCGCGGUAAUACGUAGGGUGCGAGCGUUAAUCGGAAUUACUGGGCGUAAAGCGUGCGCAGGCGGUUAUACAAGACAGGCGUGAAAUCCCCGGGCUUAACCUGGGAAUGGCGCCUGUGACUGUAUAGCUAGAGUGUGUCAGAGGGGGGUAGAAUUCCACGUGUAGCAGUGAAAUGCGUAGAUAUGUGGAGGAAUACCAAUGGCGAAGGCAGCCCCCUGGGAUAACACUGACGCUCAUGCACGAAAGCGUGGGGAGCAAACAGGAUU